CCUACGGGGUGCUGCAGUGGGGAAUAUUGGACAAUGGGCGAAAGCCUGAUCCAGCCACGCCGCGUGUGUGAAGAAGGCCUUCGGGUUGUAAAGCACUUUCAGUGGGGAAGAAAGCCUUGGGGCUAAUACCCUCGAGGAAGGACAUCACCCACAGAAGAAGCACCGGCUAACUCCGUGCCAGCAGCCGCGGUAAUACGGAGGGUGCGAGCGUUAAUCGGAAUUACUGGGCGUAAAGCGCGCGUAGGCGGUCUGAUAAGCCGGUUGUGAAAGCCCCGGGCUCAACCUGGGAACGGCAUCCGGAACUGUCAGGCUAGAGUGCAGGAGAGGAAGGUAGAAUUCCCGGUGUAGCGGUGAAAUGCGUAGAGAUCGGGAGGAAUACCAGUGGCGAAGGCGGCCUUCUGGACUGACACUGACGCUGAGGUGCGAAAGCGUGGGUAGCAAACAGGAUUAGAUACCCUAGUAGUC
Molecule: ribosomal RNA, 465 nt
Filed under: Vreelandella stevensii
Lineage: Bacteria; Pseudomonadati; Pseudomonadota; Gammaproteobacteria; Oceanospirillales; Halomonadaceae
Description: partial 16S ribosomal RNA
Rfam family: Bacterial small subunit ribosomal RNA
Source: RNAcentral